AUACUCAUACAGCUUGAUUUAUAAGAUAUCUAUAUCAUCUGAAUCAUAACUUUUUAUACCUAUAUAAUUUGAAUGAUAACUUUUUUAUACAAUGUAAUAGCGAGUGUAUGGUUAAUUCAUCGCUUAAUGCUCAAAUAAACGGAAACUCGCCAAGUGAAUAAUUGCAAAAAUAGACAAGUAUAGCUGGAUAAAGGAAGCAGCAGGAUGUACUAAUGAGAAGUUGGCAACAGUGAAACCAAUUAGCCACAAAGUACAGAAUUUAAACCGGUUGGAUCCAGAAAGACCCAGGAACACCAUAACUGAGCAUGCUCUAAAGGCAAAGUUGAAAAGUUCAAGAUAUGAGGAGGACGGGAGCCUUCAUCGGAGAGGACCCCUGAGGACCCUCAUGAUCAUCUACCCAUGCUCUGAAAGGCGGGUCGGGGGAGGAACUAUGUUAAUCCCUUCUAAAAAAAUGUAUGGAAUGGCAGAACUGGUAGAAGCAGGAUACGAUGUUCGCCAACCAGACAAAGAAAAUGUGACUCUUCUUCAGUGGGCAGCAACAAACAGCAGACAGGAGGAGCUGGUGAAAUAUUACAUUUCCAAAGGUGCGUAGUGGAUCAGCUUGGUGGAGAUUUGAAUUCUGCGCCCCUGCACUGGGCCAUUAGGUAAUGCUGCUUGCAACCACUAGUUGCAAAUCUCUCGGUAUUGACAGCUGUGGUAGCGUUUUCUGAGAUCCGCAGAACAAAGCACUGCUUGGCUGGAGAAAACAUAUGCUGAAAUAAUUCUUCUGGGAAAACUUGUCCGAGUGCAAAUUCUCCCAUUGGAAGAUCAGUGUUUUCUUCUGGAUGGUCAGUCUUUUGCCAGAGUCAGAGACUUGGAUGACUGCUCAGAGGAGAAACUACUGUAGAAUAACCUCUGUAUUCUAAAUGAACACUUUGCCCUAGGCUCAUUCAUUAAGGUAUAUAUUUAAUAUAAUUUGCUGAAAAAGCCAUGAGAAUCUGAGAGAAAACUGGUUUUUGUGUGGUCUCUAUGAGAACUAUAAGGGCAAUGCUUUCAAUAAAAUAUCAGGUUUUUAAAUCAUCUCUAUAGUUUCACUUCACACCUCGUUAUAGACAAGGACACCUUCCCAGGGGACAGCAGCAUCCAAAGGAGCUGUGCAGGGAUGUGCAGAUGCCAAAAGGGACUCUAGGGCAGUUGGACACGCUCCAGCGGGCUCAGCCCCCCGUGCUGGGGCAGGGAAAGAGCAUGAGGGGACCUCCGCUGCAGAGGAAGGAGUGGCAGGGACAGGGGAUGAAGUGAUGGCAGCAAAUGUCAGGAAGGAGGGGACAGAGGGAUAUUGGUGGGGAAAAGGGAGACACAAG
This 1340-nucleotide long non-coding RNA is filed under the name Corvus moneduloides (New Caledonian crow). Its description in RNAcentral is "lncRNA (ENSCMUG00000019620.1)". Lineage: Eukaryota; Metazoa; Chordata; Aves; Passeriformes; Corvidae. The record is from RNAcentral.